Molecule: transfer RNA, 75 nt
Filed under: Aliidiomarina taiwanensis
Lineage: Bacteria; Pseudomonadati; Pseudomonadota; Gammaproteobacteria; Alteromonadales; Idiomarinaceae
Also listed under: 2 other names
Description: tRNA-Gln
Rfam family: tRNA
About the family: Transfer RNA (tRNA) molecules are approximately 80 nucleotides in length. Their secondary structure includes four short double-helical elements and three loops (D, anti-codon, and T loops).
Source: RNAcentral
UGGGGUAUAGCCAAGCGGUAAGGCAGCGGGUUUUGAUCCCGCCAUUCCUAGGUUCAAAUCCUGGUACCCCAGCCA